AGAGUUUGAUCAUGGCUCAGGAUAAACGCUGGCGGCGUGCCUAACACAUGCAAGUCGAACGCCCUGGUUCAUCCAGGGAGUGGCGGACGGGUGAGGAACACGUGGGAAUCUACCUUCGGGUGAGGAAUACCGGCGAGAAAUCGCCGACAAAACCGCAUAACCUCUGGAAAGAGGAAAGUCGCAAGACGCCGGAAGAAGAG
Molecule: ribosomal RNA, 200 nt
Filed under: uncultured bacterium
Lineage: Bacteria
Description: partial 16S ribosomal RNA
Rfam family: Bacterial small subunit ribosomal RNA
Source: RNAcentral